Tyto alba (common barn owl) is the source of this 190-nucleotide long non-coding RNA. RefSeq lists it as uncharacterized. The transcript is spliced from 3 exons. NCBI's taxonomy places the organism in Eukaryota, Metazoa, Chordata, Aves, Strigiformes, Tytonidae. The record is from RefSeq and is a predicted model, not a curated record.
CGGCCGGCCGGGCCCGGUUCGCCGCGGCGCUGGUGGCGCUGGGAGCCGCCGGCCUCAGCGCUGCGCUGCUGCUCUUCCCCCGGGAGGACGAGCGGCCGGCCGCAGCCGCCACCGAGGAGCUACGGCUCUCCAUGCUCCCGCCUGCCUCCUUCUUCCAGCACACCCCGGAGCAUGCCGAUAGCCACGUGGC